RNAcentral lists this long non-coding RNA (572 nucleotides) under Homo sapiens (human). RNAcentral's name for it is "long intergenic non-protein coding RNA 964". The record is from RNAcentral. Lineage: Eukaryota; Metazoa; Chordata; Mammalia; Primates; Hominidae.
GUGCACAGAGAGCUUCGGUAGCCUGCGAAGCAGCCAUUUUCACUUCCACGGAGCAGAUGCUGGCCUGGGUGCUGGAAUAUGGAAAUGAGGAAGAUCCUGCCUGAGGAUUUCAUGACAGUGCUGCGAUUACCGACGUGAGCCACUGUGCCCAGCCUCACUUUAAAAAAAAAAAAAGGUUAUGAAGCAUCUCAACACAAGACCUCCUUUGCUCAUCACAACCACCCAGUGAAGCAGGCAAGACAACAGAAACUCCCCACCUGUGAUAGAUGUGAGGCCUGAAGUCUCCCACAUACCCACGGCAGAUGCAACGCACAGCGGUGACCAAUGGUGAAGGAUCUAAAACCUGAAAAGAGGCCAAAUGAUUCCUCAAAACCACGCAAGUACGAAGUAGCAGAGCGGAUCUCAAAUCCAGGUUGGUUUCCUUUUUACAACUGCCCAAGUCAUGAGUUCAUAGGGCCUGGAUGGCUGUACCGGAUUGCUCUCCAGCUGGUCUCUCUGCAUCCAGAAAUUUCUACAACCUACUGGGAAGCAAGCAGCAUGCUGGAGACCCUCAAAUACAUGUGAAAUGAAGG